Molecule: small RNA, 764 nt
Filed under: Pongo abelii (Sumatran orangutan)
Lineage: Eukaryota; Metazoa; Chordata; Mammalia; Primates; Hominidae
Description: sense overlapping
Rfam family: SOX2 overlapping transcript exon 3 (bases 14-289)
Source: RNAcentral
CAGGGGAUUGCAGUGGCAAAGCUAGGCUAGGUCUUGGAGGCUGGUGUAAGGCGAUGCGGGUGAAGGCAGGAGGCUGAUGGAAAGACUGGGGGGAAGAAAAGCCGAAAUGGAUUCACGGUGCCUUGGAUGAAGGACGAGAGGGGAACUGCAAGCUCCUUCAACUGGUUCUGUCCGGUGAGAAGUGAUCAAGCUUGGGCUGACAAGAGGCUCAGGGAGCCCUCACGUUCUUUCGCUUUUUUACCUGCCAAUCAAACUGCUACAAGACAACACCCUGAUCUGGCAUGGACAUCGCGGGUCCAAGCCUGUAGCCCCAAAUCGGAUAAUCUCUGCAGCUGAUAACAAGCAAAAGAGAAGCCAGGCAACAGCCAUAUUAAAGAAGAAAACAAUCAACUCUGAGGCCUCCCUACAGCGUUGGCUCAGCUCUAGCUACUUGGAAGGUCGUGGCAAUGCUGUCUCAGAAUGUCCAUUUCUAGAGUACAGGGAAGAAAUUCUAGCUUGACGUCCACGUGCAUUUGUCUGUGUUUCAGAGGAAAUUCCAGUUCUAAACUCUUGGAAGAAACAAUUUCUCGGCAUGCUGAAGAGACUUGCUGUUUUUUGGCACCUGAAACAUUUUUACCUGAGGGUUCUGAUUAUUUAAAUAAUUGGUAUGCUAUAACUAUUCUGGCUGACAGAAAUGUGGUUUAAUGUAGAUGAGUUGUAAAAACAUGUGACAAACAUGCUCCAGGCUAAAAAUAUCUGGAUUAAAAAAGAAAAAGAAAAAAGAA